AACGACUCUCGGCAACGGAUAUCUCGGCUCUCGCAUCGAUGAAGAACGUAGCGAAAUGCGAUACUUGGUGUGAAUUGCAGAAUCCCGUGAACCAUCGAGUCUUUGAACGCAAGUUGCGCCCGAAGCCUUCUGGCCGAGGGCACGUCUGCCUGGGCGUCACGCUU
Molecule: ribosomal RNA, 164 nt
Filed under: Portulaca oleracea
Lineage: Eukaryota; Viridiplantae; Streptophyta; Magnoliopsida; Caryophyllales; Portulacaceae
Also listed under: 2 other names
Description: 5.8S ribosomal RNA
Rfam family: 5.8S ribosomal RNA
About the family: 5.8S ribosomal RNA (5.8S rRNA) is a component of the large subunit of the eukaryotic ribosome.
Source: RNAcentral